UGUGUGUGUGUGUGUGUGUGUGUCACUUAGGUGCAGUGUAAAUCCAGCAGGAGUUGAGCAGGUAUGUCAUGUGUGUGCUGCAUCUGGCCAUAAAAGGCGCAGCCUGGCGGAGGUGUGUGUGUGUGCGUGUGAUGAUGAAAGCCCACAGGGUCACAUGUUGGCGUGCGCUGAACCUUUGGCCUGGGGAGGGCAGAUGCAGUUGAGGGACGGGGGGGAUUUGAACCAGGAGCCGCAGAGGUCAGCAGAUCGUCAGGAUCACUCCUGGCAGAUUAGCCUAAUGGAUGAGACACGGGGGACGUGUAGCAGCUAGCUCCAAUCACUCCUCCUCCUCCUCCUCCUCCUCCUCCUCACCGAUCGAGAGGGACAUCUUUACAGCCACCUGUAGAGUUUAUAUGGGGAGCACUAAACCUCCACCUUAAAAUCACAUGGAAACUCAUUCAAUUCAGCUGUUACAAACUCCAGUUGGCAACUACGCUCAUAACCAAAGUCCAUUUGUCUCUAACUUAAAUGUGUGCAGUAGACAUGUUUGUCCGUAUGAAAGAAGCUAUGUGGAUGGGUGUGCCAGGGGACACCAGCUUAGCUCCAAAAACUUCCCAAUAACAAACUAAAUAAACCAAAAGGUGCACCAUUCCAAAAUAUAUCCAAACCUA
Molecule: long non-coding RNA, 650 nt
Organism: Clupea harengus (Atlantic herring)
Lineage: Eukaryota; Metazoa; Chordata; Actinopteri; Clupeiformes; Clupeidae
Exons: 2
Source: RefSeq, a predicted model, not a curated record